Molecule: ribosomal RNA, 252 nt
Filed under: uncultured bacterium
Lineage: Bacteria
Description: partial 16S ribosomal RNA
Rfam family: Bacterial small subunit ribosomal RNA
Source: RNAcentral
UACGGAGGAUGCGAGCGUUAUCCGGAUUUAUUGGGUUUAAAGGGUGCGCAGGCGGCACGGCAAGCCGGCGGUCAAAUCGCGGGGCUCAACCCCGCCCAGCCGUCGGAACUGCCAGGCUAGAGUGGGCGAGAAGUGCGCGGAAUGCGUGGUGUAGCGGUGAAAUGCAUAGAUAUCACGCAGAACUCCGAUUGCGAAGGCAGCGCACCGGCGCCCUACUGACGCUCAGGCACGAAAGCGUGGGUAUCGAACAGG